ACCACAUUCGGACCGUCGGUCUACUGAGCAAUAUCACCCGCUCUGUGGAAGACCAUCCCACCAUUGU
RNAcentral lists this microRNA precursor (67 nucleotides) under Bombyx mori (domestic silkworm). RNAcentral describes it as "mir-2774 microRNA precursor family". It matches the Rfam family "mir-2774 microRNA precursor family". The record is from Rfam by way of RNAcentral. Lineage: Eukaryota; Metazoa; Arthropoda; Insecta; Lepidoptera; Bombycidae.